UACAGAGGGUGCGAGCGUUAAUCGGAAUUACUGGGCGUAAAGCGCACGUAGGCGGCCUGCUAAGUCGAACGUGAAAUCCCCGGGCUCAACCCGGGAACUGCGUCCGAUACUGGCAGGCUUGAAUCCGGGAGAGGGAUGCGGAAUUCCAGGUGUAGCGGUGAAAUGCGUAGAUAUCAGGAGGAACACCGGCGGUGUAGACGGCUCUCUGGACAGUUACUGACGCUGAGACACGAAAGCGUGGGGAGCAAACAGG
This 253-nucleotide ribosomal RNA is filed under the name uncultured bacterium. RNAcentral's name for it is "partial 16S ribosomal RNA". It matches the Rfam family "Bacterial small subunit ribosomal RNA", at positions 524 to 776 of the family's 1533-position model. The record is from RNAcentral.